UAUCUCUGUAGAGUCUGCAUAUCAAUAAGCGGAGGAAAAGAAACUAACUAGGAUUCCCUCAGUAACGGCGAGUGAAGCGGGAAGAGCUCAAAUUUGAAAUCUUCAAGGUUCUACCUUGACGAAUUGUAGUUUAAAGAAGUGUUUUCUGUUGGAGUUUUGGUAAAAGUUCUUUGGAAUAGGACAUCAUAGAGGGUGAGAAUCCCGUAUUUGACCAUUAUUUCCAGCUUUGUGAUACACUUUCAAAGAGUCGGAUUGUAUGGGAAUGCAGUCCAAAAUGGGUGGUAAAUUUCAUCUAAAGCUAAAUACUGGCGAGAGACCGAUAGCGAACAAGUACCGUGAGGGAAAGAUGAAAAGAACUUUGAAAAGAGAGUUAAACAGUACGUGAAAUUGUCAAAAGGGAAGCGUUUGACACCAGUGUUGUUUUCUCGAAAAUCAAUUAAAAAAGGCAGGAUUUUGUGUUGUAUUGACUUCAUCAGCUUUCUGCACUCUUUUCUUGUCUUUUUUAAUGCACUUUUCGUUUAACAAGUCAACAUCAAUUUCUUUUGUUGUAAAAGGGUCAUUGGAAGGUGGCUUUCUUUUCGGAGAAAGUGUUUAUAGCCUUUGGCCUCUGCAAUCGGAGAGAUUGAGGUCUGCAGCGUAGAUCCUUCGGGGUUAGAUACAUUUGUGCUAAGUUAUAGCCUUUCAUAGACAACUUGUUGACUAUGAUCAGUCAUGUAGCUUACUCGCUUAUGCUAUUUUACCUACGCUUAGGAUGUUGACGAUCAGCUGAGCGCG
This 774-nucleotide ribosomal RNA is filed under the name uncultured Neocallimastigales. RNAcentral's name for it is "partial large subunit ribosomal RNA". It matches the Rfam family "Eukaryotic large subunit ribosomal RNA", at positions 24 to 627 of the family's 3401-position model. Lineage: Eukaryota; Fungi; Neocallimastigomycota; Neocallimastigomycetes; Neocallimastigales. The record is from RNAcentral.